AGUGCGGGGGUCCCUGCCGGCGGCCCGCAAAACUCUGUUUAGCACUGAAUUUCUGAAUAUAUAACUAAAUAAGUUAAAACUUUCAACAACGGAUCUCUUGGUUCUGGCAUCGAUGAAGAACGCAGCGAAAUGCGAUAAGUAAUGUGAAUUGCAGAAUUCAGUGAAUCAUCGAAUCUUUGAACGCACAUUGCGCCCAUUAGUAUUCUAGUGGGCAUGCCUGUUCGAGCGUCAUUUCAACCCUUAAGCCCCUGUUGCUUAGCGUUGGGAGCCUACGGCAGCGUAGCUCCCCAAAGUUAGUGGCGUGGUCGGUUCACACUCCAGACGUAGUAGAUUUUCACCUCKCCUGUAKUCGGACCGGUCCCCUGCCGUAAAACACCCCAAUUUUUAAAGGUUGACCUCG
This 400-nucleotide ribosomal RNA is filed under the name Xylaria sp. 23 JM-2013. RNAcentral's name for it is "eukaryotic LSU rRNA". The stretch from base 78 to 231 matches the Rfam family "5.8S ribosomal RNA". Lineage: Eukaryota; Fungi; Ascomycota; Sordariomycetes; Xylariales; Xylariaceae. The record is from RNAcentral.